UCCAAUACGCACCCUCCUUCCCCUCUGUCGAAGUAGCAGGCAAGAAGGAACUGAGGUGGUGGUGGGUCGGCAGGGCUCUAUAUUGAGCGCCAUGAAGGCACGACUCCAGGGGGCGCCCGGACCGACCCGACAGAUGCGGUUAUCGGGAAAAACUUCUGGCUACAGUGCACGUGCGCGCGCACACACACCUGAUUGGAGUGGACAUAACAACACAUCUCGAAGAACAACAGUUACGACAAGCAAUCACAGCUUGUACGCCAAUGAUAAUCUUGCCUCCCACUAAAUAAGAACAGCAGCAGAGGCAGAUAUUGACCCCCUCCUUCACUUCAAGGAAAACUUGGAU
Long non-coding RNA from Dermochelys coriacea (leatherback sea turtle), 343 nucleotides. RefSeq lists it as uncharacterized. The transcript is spliced from 3 exons. The record is from RefSeq and is a predicted model, not a curated record. NCBI's taxonomy places the organism in Eukaryota, Metazoa, Chordata, Testudines, Dermochelyidae.